CUCCAGGCCUGCAAUUCCUUGCUGAGAACUUCAUCCCUUGAGGUCAUACAUCCCACUACCCAGACACUUUCUUUAGAUGCAAAAAUCCAUGGGAUGGUUAAUACCUGUAUCGCGAACCCUGAGCCAAGUUGUCAGGUCUCUUCUGUUGAUACGGUUGGAUCCUAACAAAGUUCGAAGUCAUGGCCUGGAAGAUGAAGAAAGAAAUGAAUGGAGGCUGCAGCAGUUUCUUCAGACAGAUCUAUGCUUUCUGUGACUUUCCUAUCACAGGUCCUGAGCCCCAGCACUACACAUUCAGAUUCAACAAGUCCGGAGUAGGGCUCUAGAGCUUGCACACUUCCCGGCUCCUAGAAGAUUCUAAGAUGGGAGGCUCGUGAGCCACACCCAGAGAAACACCAUCCUGUGACCAGAGAACAGGUUAGGAUACUGAACAUCCCCUCAUCUGCAGACCAAGAAAAACUGAGUUCUUGGCUAGCAUGGAGCCUAACUUGUGUUUUAGUUAAUUCUACUUCUGUCACUGGAGGUUGGAUUAAACAGUAAGAGAACGACUUCCAUACAACCAAAGGUGAACAUAAGGUAUAAAAAACCUGCAGAUAGAAGUAGAUUCCCAAGGAGGGAAAUGCUGAAACCCAGCAAAGGAGAUGACUGCAGUUCCUGACCUGAGACUCCGUCCUAUUUCCCUUAUGACAUUACCCAGUGGUGCUUUUCCUGUUCCUAGAAAGAAAACCAACAGGGUGCAGCCUUCGGUGGGUGGGGGUCUAUGUGUGCACAAGUGCACACAGUGAUUUUUAUAUAAAAAGGCUCACCACAGGACAGCCACCAGCAGGAUGAUGCCCAGAGCACCGGCAUUCUUACCAUAGCUAAAGAAAACCCUGAGUAUUUGGCCUCUGCAACCAGGGAACAAAGGGAGUUUUGAGAUGGCUGUGCGUAAAGGAGCUGGAAGUCAUUCCAGCAUUUAGAGCUUCAAUUGAAAAUAAACAAACAGCCCAAGCCUUCCCCAGGACCCAGUCUGCCAAGCACCAGCCUGGGAGUGCACACUGGCCACUGGGGCCAGCACAUGGCUAUUUAUAUUCAUAAUCCAAUUUGGACGGGGAAGGCGCAUGAAAAUAAAUUGAUUAUCUUGAAACUGUAAGAGCAAAAUUCAUCAGGACAAAAAAGUAAUGAAAUAAUAUAGAGGAAGUACCUGAGUAGGUCAUCUGAGGGGAUGUUUCUCGUGAACUGUCUCCAACCCAGUUUGCUUUCUGGAUUCAGACACGAGAAAACUGGCUGACAAAGUUCCAGAAAUCACAUGCCAACAUGUGGAUAGAGCUUUGCUGAGUAUUUUUCCCCUUUUCUGGGUGUGUGUGUGUGAGUGUGUGUGUGUAUGUGUGUGUAUAUAUAUAUAGUUGUGUGUGUGUAUAGAUUGUUUGACAGAGGGUUGAUUAUCUCAACUCAGUUUCUAGCUGGUGAGGAAGAAAAGUGGACAGUUCAUAAAAAACAACCAUCUUUCCCAAAUCUGAGGGUCAAACACAAGGGUACAUUAUCUUGGAAACACUGGCUUUCUAUCUUAGGUCUUGCCCAUCCUCUUUUCCCUAGAGGCUAGAUUCAACUCUGCCUUCCCACAGGAACAAUAGCAACCAUUUAUGACGCGUGUGGGAUAUGUCACCGGCUGGAGAUGCACAGUCAGGAAUAACCUGGGAUGGGGACUCUCGGCCUAUUUUAAAGAUAAGGAAAUGGAGGAUCAGAAUCGAAGUGACUAACCCAACACCACCUCGCUAAUCAAGUGGGGACUUGGGAUUAGAACCCAAGUCUGUCUGGGGUUUGUGUUGUGACACCAUACUGCCUCCCUGAAAAAACCUAAGGACAGUCUCUAAAAUCAACAUUCAUUCCCAGGAAAUGGGCACUUGCUGGGGUCAAGUCGGAAGAUGGGCCUGGACGAGAGGAGGCUUGGUAAAGCACUGAUAGCUUGGAGUUGAGAAAGUAUCCCUUUCUUAGCUCAGCUCCGAAGAGUUUACAAGACAGACUUAAGGAGAAACACUUUCACGGACUGCAUCUAUGAAGGCUGGCCCUUAAUUUGAGCUUUCUUCUCUCUGUAGAUGAAUUAUUUAAAAAUAAAAUAAUUUUGAUAAAACUCAUAACCAAAAACGAGGCUCAAACCUCACCUCCAUUUAUUAUCUAUUGGUCCUGAGAAAGGAUGUAACCUGUCUAGGAUUCAGGUAAUUUGUUUUUCAAGUGAGUAGACUGAAGAGGGAUGGAUGAGGCAGGACCCUGGACCAGGGUGGCUUCUGUGGUCCCCUCUAGCAAUGAAAUUGAUGAUUCUAAUAACUAACAGAAG
RNAcentral lists this long non-coding RNA (2311 nucleotides) under Homo sapiens (human). RNAcentral describes it as "HSALNT0031106". Lineage: Eukaryota; Metazoa; Chordata; Mammalia; Primates; Hominidae. The record is from RNAcentral.